This 280-nucleotide unclassified non-coding RNA is filed under the name Hevea brasiliensis (rubber tree). Lineage: Eukaryota; Viridiplantae; Streptophyta; Magnoliopsida; Malpighiales; Euphorbiaceae. The record is from RNAcentral.
GCAAUGCCAAAGAUUUAUUGAAGAGGGUCAAGGCUUACCGAGUCACUAGGUGAAGGAUUUCUCCUGCCCAAUUUGUGGAUGGAACAUCUUCCAACAAUUUCAGUAGUGAAAUUAUUGCGGAUUUUGUUUCAUUUUUGCCAUUUUAUUGUCAACCUCCAAAUUUUAAGCUGCUUUUAUAUUGGAAUGAGGAUUUAUAUGUCAAGCUCCCAACCUCACGUUAAUUCUUCUUGAGCAACAGGCAAAUUAGAAGUUUCUAUUGAAUGAUAAAAAAGGACGUGGA